GGUUAAGCGACUAAGCGUACACGGUGGAUGCCCUGGCAGUCAGAGGCGAUGAAGGACGUGCUAAUCUGCGAUAAGCGUCGGUGAGGUGAUAUGAACCGUUAUAACCGGCGAUUUCCGAAUGGGGAAACCCAGUGUGUUUCGACACACUAUCAUUAACUGAAUCCAUAGGUUAAUGAGGCGAACCGGGGGAACUGAAACAUCUAAGUACCCCGAGGAAAAGAAAUCAACCGAGAUUCCCCCAGUAGCGGCGAGGGAGCCCAGAGCCUGAAUCMGUGGUUAGUGGAMGCGUCUGGAMAGGCGCGCGAUACAGGGUGACAGCCCCGUACACAAAAAUGCACAUAUUGUGAGCUCGAUGAGUAGGGCGGGACACGUGGUAUCCUGUCUGACGGCGAGGGGAGUGAAAAAGAACCUGAAACCGUGUACGUACAAGCAGUGGGAGCCUCUUAAUGGGGUGACUGCGUACCUUUUGUAUAAUGGGUCAGCGACUUAUAUUCUGUAGCAAGGUUAACCGAAUAGGGGAGCCGAAGGGAAACCGAGUCUUAACUGGGCGUUAAGUUGCAGGGUAUAGACCCGAAACCCGGUGAUCUAGCCAUGGGCAGGUUGAAGGUUGGGUAACACUAACUGGAGGACCGAACCGACUAAUGUUGAAAAAUUAGCGGAUGACUUGUGGCUGGGGGGGUAGAGCACUGUUUCGGCAAGGGGGUCAUCCCGACUUACCAACCCGAUGCAAACUGCGAAUACCGGAGAAUGUUAUCACGGGAGACACACGGCGGGUGCUAACGUCCGUCGUGAAGAGGGAAACAACCCAGACCGCCAGCUAAGGUCCCAAAGUCAUGGUUAAGUGGGAAACGAUGUGGGAAGGCCCAGACAGCCAGGAUGUUGGCUUAGAAGCAGCCAUCAUUUAAAGAAAGCGUAAUAGCUCACUGGUCGAGUCGGCCUGCGCGGAAGAUGUAACGGGGCUAAACCAUGCACCGAAGCUGCGGCAGCGACGCUUAUGCGUUGUUGGGUAGGGGAGCGUUCUGUAAGCCUGUGAAGGUGGCCUGUGAGGGUUGCUGGAGGUAUCAGAAGUGCGAAUGCUGACAUAAGUAACGAUAAAGCGGGUGAAAAGCCCGCUCGCCGGAAGACCAAGGGUUCCUGUCCAACGUUAAUCGGGGCAGGGUGAGUCGACCCCUAAGGCGAGGCCGAAAGGCGUAGUCGAUGGGAAACAGGUUAAUAUUCCUGUACUUGGUGUUACUGCGAAGGGGGGACGGAGAAGGCUAUGUUGGCCGGGCGACGGUUGUCCCGGUUUAAGCGUGUAGGCUGGUUUUCCAGGCAAAUCCGGAAAACCAAGGCUGAGGCGUGAUGACGAGGCACUACGGUGCUGAAGCGACAAAUGCCCUGCUUCCAGGAAAAGCCUCUAAGCAUCAGGUAACAUCAAAUCGUACCCCAAACCGACACAGGUGGUCAGGUAGAGAAUACCAAGGCGCUUGAGAGAACUCGGGUGAAGGAACUAGGCAAAAUGGUGCCGUAACUUCGGGAGAAGGCACGCUGAUAUGUAGGUGAAGCGACUAGCUCGUGGAGCUGAAAUCAGUCGAAGAUACCAGCUGGCUGCAACUGUUUAUUAAAAACACAGCACUGUGCAAACACGAAAGUGGACGUAUACGGUGUGACGCCUGCCCGGUGCCGGAAGGUUAAUUGAUGGGGUUAGCGGUAACGCGAAGCUCUUGAUCGAAGCCCCGGUAAACGGCGGCCGUAACUAUAACGGUCCUAAGGUAGCGAAAUUCCUUGUCGGGUAAGUUCCGACCUGCACGAAUGGCGUAAUGAUGGCCAGGCUGUCUCCACCCGAGACUCAGUGAAAUUGAACUCGCUGUGAAGAUGCAGUGUACCCGCGGCAAGACGGAAAGACCCCGUGAACCUUUACUAUAGCUUGACACUGAACAUUGAGCCUUGAUGUGUAGGAUAGGUGGGAGGCUUUGAAGUGUGGACGCCAGUCUGCAUGGAGCCGACCUUGAAAUACCACCCUUUAAUGUUUGAUGUUCUAACGUGGGCAAUCGGGGUUGCGGACAGUGUCUGGUGGGUAGUUUGACUGGGGCGGUCUCCUCCUAAAGAGUAACGGAGGAGCACGAAGGUUGGCUAAUCCUGGUCGGACAUCAGGAGGUUAGUGCAAUGGCAUAAGCCAGCUUGACUGCGAGCGUGACGGCGCGAGCAGGUGCGAAAGCAGGUCAUAGUGAUCCGGUGGUUCUGAAUGGAAGGGCCAUCGCUCAACGGAUAAAAGGUACUCCGGGGAUAACAGGCUGAUACCGCCCAAGAGUUCAUAUCGACGGCGGUGUUUGGCACCUCGAUGUCGGCUCAUCACAUCCUGGGGCUGAAGUAGGUCCCAAGGGUAUGGCUGUUCGCCAUUUAAAGUGGUACGCGAGCUGGGUUUAGAACGUCGUGAGACAGUUCGGUCCCUAUCUGCCGUGGGCGCUGGAGAACUGAGGGGGCUGCUCCUAGUACGAGAGGACCGGAGUGGACGCAUCACUGGUGUUCGGGUUGUCAUGCCAAUGGCACUGCCCGGUAGCUAAAUGCGGAAGAGAUAAGUGCUGAAAGCAUCUAAGCACGAAACUUGCCCCGAGAUGAGUUCUCCCUGAGACUUAGAGUCUCCUGAAGGAACGUUGAAGACGACGACGUUGAUAGGCCGGGUGUGUAAGCGCAGCGAUGCGUUGAGCUAACCGGUACUAAUGAACCGUGAGGCUUAACCUU
This 2721-nucleotide ribosomal RNA is filed under the name Escherichia coli. Its description in RNAcentral is "23S ribosomal RNA". Lineage: Bacteria; Pseudomonadati; Pseudomonadota; Gammaproteobacteria; Enterobacterales; Enterobacteriaceae. The record is from RNAcentral.